UAGCCAUCCUGCCGGACCUGACUGCUAUCGAAUUGAUACUAAGCCAUGUGAGUCAUUGUAGUAAUACAAGGCAGACGGCUCAGUAACACGUAGCGUUUGCUAACCUAUGGACGGGGAUAACCUCGGGAAACUGAGGAUAAACCCCGAUAGAUCAUUAUGCCUGGAACGGUUUAUGGUCCAAAUGAUUCGUCGCCGUAGGAUGAGACUGCGGCCUAUCAGCUUGUUGGCUGGGUAAUGGCCCACCAAGGCUAUUACAGGUACGGGCUCUGAGAGGAGAAGCCCGGAGAUGGGUACUGAGACACGGACCCAGGCCCUAUGGGGCGCAGCAGGCGAGAAACCUUUGCAAUGUGCGCAAGCACGACAAGGUUAAUCCGAGUGAUUCCUGCUAAAGGAAUCUUUUGUUAGUCUUAAAAUCACUAUUGUUUAAGGGGUGGGCAAGUUCUGGUGUCAGCCGCCGCGGUAAAACCAGCACCUCAAGUGGUCAGGGUUCCAAUUGGGCGUCAAGCAUCCGUAGCCUGCUCUGUAAGUUUCCGGUUAAAUCCAUUAGCUCAACUAAUGGCCUGCCGGAAAUACUGUAGAGCUAGGAAGUGGGUGUAGGUAGACGGUACUCGGUAGGAAGGGGUAAAAUCCUUUGAUCUAUUGAUGACCACCUAAAGCCUUGGCGGUCUACCAGAACACGUGAGACGGUGAGGGAUGAAAGCUGGGGGAGCCCCCCGGAUUAGAUACCCGGGUAGUCCCAGCUGUAAACGAUGCAGACUCGGUGAUGCGCUGGCUUGUGGCCAGUGCAGUGCCGCAGGGAAGCCGUUAAGUAGGCCGCCUGGGAAGUACGUACGCAAGUAUGAAACUUGGUGGAAUUGGCGUUUUC
RNAcentral lists this ribosomal RNA (865 nucleotides) under uncultured sediment archaeon. RNAcentral describes it as "bacterial SSU rRNA". It matches the Rfam family "Archaeal small subunit ribosomal RNA", at positions 1 to 875 of the family's 1478-position model. The record is from RNAcentral.